RNAcentral lists this ribosomal RNA (465 nucleotides) under uncultured bacterium. Its description in RNAcentral is "partial 16S ribosomal RNA". It matches the Rfam family "Bacterial small subunit ribosomal RNA", at positions 28 to 507 of the family's 1533-position model. The record is from RNAcentral.
GACGAACGCUGGCGGCGUGCUUAACACAUGCAAGUCGAACGGAAAGGCCCUGCUUGCGGGGUAUUCGCGUGGCGAAAGCGUGAGUAAAACAUGUGAGUUCUCCGCUGUACUUCGGGGUAUGACUGGAGAACAGGGUGUCUUAUCCGAUAUGGGACAUCCUUCGUCUGAUGGUUGGUUAGUAUUUUGGGUGUAGGAGGAGCUCGCGGCCUAUCUGCUAGCUGGUGGGGUAAUGGCCUACCAAGGCGGCGACGGGGAGCCGGCCUGAGAGGGUGGACGGCCACAUUGGGACUGAGAUACGGCCCAGACUCCUACGGGAGGCAGCAGUGGGGAAUAUUGCACAAUGGGCGCAAGCCUGAUGCAGCGACGCCGCGUGGGGGAUGACGGCCUUCGGGUUGUAAACUCCUUUCGCUAGGGACGAAGCUUUUUGUGACGGUACCUAGAGAAGAAGCACCGGCUAACUACGCG